GCUGUUGUAGCUCAGUUGGUAGAGCAACUGAUUCGUAAUCAGUAGGUCGGAGGUUCGAUUCCUCCCAACAGCACCA
RNAcentral lists this transfer RNA (76 nucleotides) under Betaproteobacteria bacterium. RNAcentral describes it as "tRNA-Thr". It matches the Rfam family "tRNA". From Rfam's summary of the family: Transfer RNA (tRNA) molecules are approximately 80 nucleotides in length. The record is from RNAcentral. RNAcentral also lists the same sequence under 2 other names. Lineage: Bacteria; Pseudomonadati; Pseudomonadota; Betaproteobacteria.